GGCCCCAUCGUCUAGCGGUCUAGGACACUGGCCUCUCACGCCAGAAACACGGGUUCGAGUCCCGUUGGGGUCA
RNAcentral lists this transfer RNA (73 nucleotides) under Candidatus Dadabacteria bacterium. RNAcentral's name for it is "tRNA-Glu". It matches the Rfam family "tRNA". Rfam says of the family: Transfer RNA (tRNA) molecules are approximately 80 nucleotides in length. Their secondary structure includes four short double-helical elements and three loops (D, anti-codon, and T loops). Lineage: Bacteria; Pseudomonadati; Thermodesulfobacteriota; Candidatus Dadabacteria. The record is from RNAcentral.